GACGAACGCUGGCGGCGUGCUUAACACAUGCAAGUCGAACGGAAAGGCCCUGCUUUUGUGGGGUGCUCGAGUGGCGAACGGGUGAGUAACACGUGAGUAACCUGCCCUUGACUUUGGGAUAACUUCAGGAAACUGGGGCUAAUACCGGAUAGGAGCUCCUGCUGCAUGGUGGGGGUUGGAAAGUUUCGGCGGUUGGGGAUGGACUCGCGGCUUAUCAGCUUGUUGGUGGGGUAGUGGCUUACCAAGGCUUUGACGGGUAGCCGGCCUGAGAGGGUGACCGGCCACAUUGGGACUGAGAUACGGCCGAGACUCCUACGGGAGGCAGCAGUGGGGAAUAUUGCACAAUGGGCGGAAGCCUGAUGCAGCAACGCCGCGUGCGGGAUGACGGCCUUCGGGUUGUAAACCGCUUUCGCAUGUGACGAAGCGUGAGUGACGGUAAUGGGUAAAGAAGCACCGGCUAACUACGUG
Molecule: ribosomal RNA, 468 nt
Filed under: uncultured bacterium
Lineage: Bacteria
Description: partial 16S ribosomal RNA
Rfam family: Bacterial small subunit ribosomal RNA
Source: RNAcentral